UACGAAGGGUGCAAGCGUUACUCGGAAUUACUGGGCGUAAAGCGUGCGUAGGCGGUUUGUUAAGUCUGUCGUGAAAGCCCCGGGCUCAACCUGGGAAUGGCGAUGGAUACUGGCGAGCUAGAGUACGGUAGAGGAGAGUGGAAUUCCCGGUGUAGCAGUGAAAUGCGUAGAGAUCGGGAGGAACAUCAGUUGCGAAGGCGGUUCUCUGGGACGGUACUGACGCUGAGACGCGAAAGCGUGGGGAGCGAACAGG
Molecule: ribosomal RNA, 253 nt
Filed under: uncultured bacterium
Lineage: Bacteria
Description: partial 16S ribosomal RNA
Rfam family: Bacterial small subunit ribosomal RNA
Source: RNAcentral